This 329-nucleotide ribosomal RNA is filed under the name Escherichia coli. Its description in RNAcentral is "bacterial SSU rRNA". It matches the Rfam family "Bacterial small subunit ribosomal RNA", at positions 815 to 1142 of the family's 1533-position model. Lineage: Bacteria; Pseudomonadati; Pseudomonadota; Gammaproteobacteria; Enterobacterales; Enterobacteriaceae. The record is from RNAcentral.
ACUUGGAGGUUGUGCCCUUGAGGCGUGGCUUCCGGAGCUAACGCGUUAAGUCGACCGCCUGGGGAGUACGGCCGCAAGGUUAAAACUCAAAUGAAUUGACGGGGGCCCGCACAAGCGGUGGAGCAUGUGGUUUAAUUCGAUGCAACGCGAAGAACCUUACCUGGUCUUGACAUCCACGGAAGUUUUCAGAGAUGAGAAUGUGCCUUCGGGAACCGUGAGACAGGUGCUGCAUGGCUGUCGUCAGCUCGUGUUGUGAAAUGUUGGGGUAAGUCGCGCAACGAGCGCAACCCUUUAUCCUUUUGUUGCCAGCGGCCCGGCCGGGAACUCAA